Molecule: long non-coding RNA, 1504 nt
Organism: Scleropages formosus (Asian bonytongue)
Lineage: Eukaryota; Metazoa; Chordata; Actinopteri; Osteoglossiformes; Osteoglossidae
Exons: 3
Source: RefSeq, a predicted model, not a curated record
AGCUGGGCUGCGGGGCGACGGCGCAGUGGGGACCGAGCGAGGAGGGUGCGGAGAGCAGGAGGGGCACGAGCGUCGACACGCGGGUGAGGAACACAAGGCAACGAUGUUCAAAAUUACAUAGUGUUCAUAUUGAAAAAUAAUACUGGAAAGUCCACCCCCUUGCAGAGCCCCACCCGCCCCAAAGGGGAACCUCCGUGCCGCCACUUUCCAGUUUGCCCAUGUUCCCUAUUCCUAAACGCAGGGAAUAUUCUGGAAACACCCCAACGGCCCGGACUUCCCCAGGGGCCUCUUUACUUACAGUGACGUGAAAGAGCGAGCUCAUCUUUUCUGGAGCGGAACCCCAAGACCUUUGACCCUUUUUACCUUCCUCCUCGUGGGAAUACACCUCUCUCCACAGCAGCCGGUGUUUGAGGUCAUCCUUGGGACCGUACAGAUAACCGUCAGAGGGUACCGUACAGGAACCUACCAGGGCGAACUCCUCCGAGCUCCUCUAACAGCUGUGCUCAGAGGGGAGCAAGAAGCGCAGAGCGGUAACCCCAGAUGUCCCACUGUGAAGCAACUGAAGAGCUGUGACCCACUGGGACAGAAGGCAGAGAGAAAUGAGGAGCUAAAAGAGGAAAAGACUGAAGAACGGAGGCAGUGACGACACCUCCUACCGGAGUUGGACGGAAGACGAGCGGCACUUUCCUCCUACGAUCAAUAACUGAAAGCGGAGAGCUACGGGGGGGGUCGUCAGUCACGGCUGGAACCACUCUGACGUUUAUUCACUGUAUCAGACUCUUCCCCAAAGUGACGUGCAAAAGUACAAUUGACCAGACAGACAGACAGACUCAGUGUGUCCAAUACCACGGUACAGAGUAGCAGUAGUAGGAAACGCAGAGGUGAUGGUGACGGAUGGUGUGAUGUGAGUUUAUGGAGCUGUUAGGAGAUCAGGAGAGAAGUGGCCCUGAAACAAAGGAGUUUUUAAAGGGAUUCAGCAGCUCCGAGGGACAGCGGGCGCUCACUGCACCACACGGAGACCCUACACACUUCCGCACCCCUGAGAGUGAGACAACCAAGUGUCCAGAGUUGGAGGAGCUCAGCACCCUUUCCGGGCUGUAGGGAGCGAUCGGGUCCUGUAGGUACCGCAGCGCAGAUCCUUUGACCGUCUUGUAGGCCGUAGCCAGUUUUGAUCCUGAUGCAGGCAGCUGCAGCCAGGCAGCAGAGAGAGAUGAAGAGGGGAGAUACAUGGGGACGCUGGGGGGUCAAACACAACUCGUCUCCCUCUGGGCGCAGGUAACAUCACUAGUCUCGCUUCCCGUGCAGAUGGUGGCGCCGUCGCUCCACCCACACAGCCCCCCCCCCCAUUUGCACGCACCCACACUACUGCUCUUCGUGGUUCAAGUGACACCAACUAUGCGCCAAAAAUGAGGAAAUGACCAAAUUACAUUAGAAGAAAGCAAAGGAUAAUAAACAUGUCAAUAAAAGUGUAACAGAAGUCUGAAGAGGAAGAACACUAUAAUAA